GACGAACGCUGGCGGCGUGCUUAACACAUGCAAGUCGAACGGUGAAGCGCCUUCCUUUUUGGUUGGUGUGGAUGAGUGGCGAACGGGUGAGUAACACGUGAGUAACCUGCCCCCUUCUUCUGGAUAACCGCAUGAAAGUGUGGCUAAUACGGGAUAUUCUGGGUCUGUCGCAUGAUGGGUCUGGGAAAGAUAUUGUUUCGGUGGGGGAUGGGCUCGCGGCCUAUCAGCUUGUUGGUGGGGUGAUGGCCUACCAAGGCGGUGACGGGUAGCCGGCCUGAGAGGGUGGACGGUCACACUGGGACUGAGACACGGCCCAGACUGCUACGGGAGGCAGCAGUGGGGAAUAUUGCACAAUGGGCGCAAGCCUGAUGCAGCGACGCCGCGUGAGGGAUGGAGGCCUUCGGGUUGUGAACCUCUUUCGCCAGUGAAGCAGGCCUGCCUCGUUUGUGGGUGGGUUGACGGUAGCUGGAUAAGAAGCGCCGGCUAACUACGUG
Molecule: ribosomal RNA, 494 nt
Filed under: uncultured bacterium
Lineage: Bacteria
Description: partial 16S ribosomal RNA
Rfam family: Bacterial small subunit ribosomal RNA
Source: RNAcentral